CUCGAGGCCAGAUCUAGAGUUUGAUCCUGGCUGAGGACGAACGCUGGCGGCGUGCCUAAUACAUGCAAGUCGAGCGGAUCGAUGGGAGCUUGCUCCCUGAGAUCAGCGGCGGACGGGUGAGUAACACGUGGGUAACCUGCCUGUAAGACUGGGAUAACUCCGGGAAACCGGGGCUAAUACCGGAUAAUUUAGUUCCUCGCAUGAGGAACUGUUGAAAGGUGGCUUCGGCUACCACUUACAGAUGGACCCGCGGCGCAUUAGCUAGUUGGUGAGGUAACGGCUCACCAAGGCAACGAUGCGUAGCCGACCUGAGAGGGUGAUCGGCCACACUGGACUGAGACACGGCCCAGACUCCUACGGGAGGCAGCAGUAGGGAAUCUUCCGCAAUGGACGAAAGUCUGACGGAGCAACGCCGCGUGAGUGAAGAAGGUUUUCGGAUCGUGAAACUCUGUUGUUAGGGAAGAACAAGUGCCGUUCGAAUAGGGCGGCACCUUGACGGUACCUAACCAGAAAGCCACGGCUAACUACGUGCCAGCAGCCGCGGUAAUACGUAGGUGGCAAGCGUUGUCCGGAAUUAUUGGGCGUAAA
This 588-nucleotide ribosomal RNA is filed under the name uncultured bacterium. RNAcentral describes it as "bacterial SSU rRNA". It matches the Rfam family "Bacterial small subunit ribosomal RNA", at positions 1 to 564 of the family's 1533-position model. The record is from RNAcentral.